Molecule: long non-coding RNA, 1032 nt
Filed under: Fragaria vesca (wild strawberry)
Lineage: Eukaryota; Viridiplantae; Streptophyta; Magnoliopsida; Rosales; Rosaceae
Description: long non-coding RNA (FVES_LNC002174)
Source: RNAcentral
UGUAAACUUCAGAAGACGAUAAGAUGUCUAGUAAGAUUUGCUUGCUCCAUAUAUAUAUCGAGGGUGAAACAACAACUCCAUGCCAACUACUCAAUCACCACCAGCCAUCGAUCAAUGAUUCCAUUAUGAAGUUUUAGAGUCUGUUCGCCUUAUCCUCUCCUUCUGUAAGUCCAACUCAACUAACAACUAAUUAUGAAUUCACUUUUUUCCCCACAUAUUCUUAAUACUACUAGCUAGAUAUGCCACCAGAUCCACACCAACUCAGCUACCAACUUAAAAAACAUGAUCCGUCAACAAGGGAAGAAAAAAAAAUAGAAUGUGGGAAAUGUUCUUUUUGAUCAACUGAAUGUGUGAUAUGUGGUGAUAAUAGCUAAUAAAUAGAAACCAAUAGCAUUAUAGCAAGACAUAGUUCUUGUUUGAUUAAAAGGGUUGAUAUCAUUUUUAUCUGACAUAUAUAGAGGUGGAAGUGCUAGUUAAGAUCAUCACGUCGGGAGGAAGAGAUUUGUGGAUCUCUACGGAAGUCAAACUAUAACAUGGUCGUGGCACAACUCAGAUCGAUUUCAGGUCUACUUAGAACACUGCGCUGGUCGGCCAGCCAUGAUAUUAUUCUAAGAAGCAAGUUCGAUCGAGAGCCGGUUGGAAUCCGACCCUCUGGUGAUGAUCAAUAGGAGAAAUUUAGGGUCUUGAAUCUUGAGUCUCGAGUGCUAACGUAAUAUUGUACGUACAAGGUUUGAGUUCCUAGUAGAUGGCCGGCCUAUUAUACUCUAGGAUAUGAUUUUCACAUUGGUUUCCGGAUACUAAAGAUUUCUAUAUAGAGUUAUUUUUUUUUUUUGAGAGAAAAUAUAGAGUAGUUUUGAUUUUGUACAAUAAUGAAAUUGCACAACCAAAUAGAAAACUGUAGGAUAUGAUUUUCACAUUGGUUUCCGGAUACUAAAGAUUUCUAUAUAGAGUUAGUUUUUUUUUUUGAGAGAAAAUAUAGAGUAGUUUUGAUUUUGUACAAUAAUGAAAUUGCAUAACAAAAUAAGAAAACUG